Molecule: RNA transcript, 4409 nt
Organism: Bubalus bubalis (water buffalo)
Lineage: Eukaryota; Metazoa; Chordata; Mammalia; Artiodactyla; Bovidae
Gene: PIGO
Gene name: phosphatidylinositol glycan anchor biosynthesis class O
Exons: 11
Source: RefSeq, a predicted model, not a curated record
GCUGCACUUCCGGGCGCCAUUCAAGGUGAGGCAGGGGCUCCCCAAACACCCUUACUCUUGCUUUUCCCAGAAAUUAGGGACCCGUCUACCCCACUCACAGAGCUUGAAGUCUGGCGGGCCCAGUACCCGGUCAAGGUGUCCAGCCGGAGGCCGGACAGCCAUCGGAGGAGGCAGAGUCAUCUGGACGUCUGGGUCCCAGCGAGGCCCAACCGCCUUAAGACCUCGCGCUUCUGCCCUGCUGAGCCGGGUCGCGCUUUUCGUCUGGCUAUCCUGGGUGUCCGGAAGCGGAGUACGACUCCUAAGUCCCCGCCAGGCGGCGCCGUCAGCCUGGCCUGGAUUCCCCUGCGGCUGUGAGCCUUGGCCACCCCAGGGGUGUUGAAAUUGGCGAGCAGAGAGGAGAAGCGGGCUGUCGGAAAGCAGUCUACCACUUGGAAUAAGUUUUCCCCUGGAUUGUGUUUUCCAUCAUUAAGAUCUCUUGAAGUACAUAUACAAAUUCUUAUGCUCCACCCUCAAAGAUCCUGAUUCCGGGGAUCUCGGGUGACGUUUUUUAUUUAAUUUUACUUUUGGCUGCCCUGGGUCUUCCUUGCUUUGCGUGGGCUUUCUCUCCUUGGAGUGAGUAGGGGCUGCCCUUCCUUGCAGUGCCUGGUCUCAUUGUGGUGGCUUCUCUCGUUAGGGAGCACUGGGCUCUAGAGUUCAGGCUCAGGAGUUGUGGUGCACGGGUAUGUGGAAUCUCCCCCGACCAGGGAUCCCACCCGUGUCCCCUGUGUUGACACGUGGAUUCUUAAGCACUGGACCAUCAAGGAAGUCUGAAAGUCAGCACUUUUAAAACACCCACUCCAGAUUGAUGCUGGUAGUCUGCACACCUCACUUUCAGAAACUCUCAUGUAACUGAUGGAGAGGAACACUACAUUGGGUUGGCUAUGGGACUCUUUAUCUUCAGGAGAGCUUCCAAGAGGAAGUGAUUCUAACAGGGCUUUGUACUGAGAGACUAGAAUAUCUACUGGUUCUUUGCCUCACAGUUAUGAAUUCCCUCUCCUGCCACUACCAGGAUGCAGAAGAUUUCAGUGCUGCUUUUCCUGGCCUGGGUGAGCUUCCUCUUCUACGCCGGCAUUGCUCUCUUCACCAGUGGCUUCCUGCUCACCCGUUGGGAGCUCACCAACCAUAGCAGCUGUCAAGAGCCCCCAGGCCCUGGAGCCCUGCCAUGGGGGGGCCGAGGGGAACCCGGGGCCUGCUGGAUGGCUUCCCGAUUCUCUCGGCUCGUGUUGGUGGUGAUAGAUGCUCUGCGAUUUGACUUUGCCCAGCCCCAGCGCUCACCUGUUUCUGGGGAGCCUCCUGUCUCCCUGCCUUUCCUGGGUAAAAUGGGCUUCUUGCAGAGACUCCUGGAAAGUCAGCCCCACCAUGCCAGGCUCUACCAAGCCAAAGCUGACCCCCCGACCACCACCAUGCAGCGCCUCAAGGCCUUAACCACCGGCUCACUGCCUACCUUUGUUGAUGCUGGCAGUAAUUUUGCCAGCAGCGCCAUAGUGGAAGAUAAUCUCAUUAAGCAGCUUUCCAGUGCAGGAAGACGUGUGGUCUUCAUGGGAGAUGAAACCUGGAAUGAUCUUUUCCCUGGAGUUUUCUCCCAAGCUUUAUUCUUCCCAUCCUUCAAUGUCAGAGACCUAGAGACAGUGGACAAUGGCAUCAUGAAACACCUCUAUCCAACCAUGGACAGUGACGAAUGGGACGUGCUGAUUACUCACUUCCUGGGUGUGGAUCACUGUGGCCACAAGCAUGACCCUUACCAUCCUGAAAUGGCUAAGAAACUUACCCAAAUGGAUAAAAUGAUCCAGGGACUUGUGAAGCGUCUGAAGAACGACACACUGCUGGUGGUGACUGGGGACCAUGGGAUGACCAUCAGUGGGAACCAUGGAGGAGAGAGUGAGCUGGAAACCUCAGCUGCACUUUUUCUAUAUAGUCCCAGAGCUCUCUUCCCCAGUGCUCCUGCAGAGGAGCCAGAGAUAAUUCCUCAAAUCAACCUUGUGCCUACGCUGGCCCUGCUGCUGGGCCUGCCCAUCCCAUUUGGAAACAUCGGGGAGGUGAUAGCUGAGGUGUUCUCAGAGAUCGAAGACUCCCAGCCUCGCUUCUCCGCUCUGGCCCAAGCCUCAGCUCUGCAUCUCAAUGCCCAGCAGGUGUCCCGAUUUAUUCACACCUACUCAGCCACUGCUCAGGACCUUCAAGUUCAGGAGCUGCAUCGAUUGCAGAAGCUCUUCUCCAAGGCUUCUGCUGACUACCAGCGACUUCUGCAGAGCCCCCAGGGGGCUGAGGCAGCGCUCCAAACUGUGAUUCCUGAGCUGCAGCAGUUCCUGCGGGGAGUUCGGGCCAUGUGCAUUGAGUCUUGGGCUCGUUUUUCUCUGGUCCGCAUGGCAGGGGGUGCUGCUCUUCUGGCUGCUACCUGCUUUCUUUGCCUACUGGUAUCCCAGUGGGCAGCAUCCCCAGCCUUCUAUUUCGGCCCUCUCCUAAAACCCACAGCCUCGGGUCUGAGUGGCGCCAUGGUGUGUGCUGGACUCCUGGCAUCUACUGGGCUGAAGCUGGAUUCCGUGGUUCUAGGGGCCAUGGCUGCAGUGGGCUCACUCCUGCCUUUUCUGUGGAAAGCUUGGGCGAGCUGGGGAUCGAAAAGGUCCCUGGCCUCUCUCCUUCCCAUGCCCGGGCCAGUCCUGUUACUCCUGCUCAUUCGCUUUGCUGGUUUCUUCUCCGAUAGCUAUAUUAUAACCGAGGCCAGGGUUGCCCCCUUCCUUUUGAUCUCACUCAUCUUGCUCCUGGUUGCCCAACUUCACUGGGAGGGCAAGCUGCUGCCACCUAAGCUACUCUCGAUACCUCGCCUUGGCUUUUUGACUCCAACAGGUCCCCCGCAAUACAGUGCCAUGCAUGCCCUGGGACUUGGAGUUGGGUUGCUUUUAUGUAUAAGGCUAGCUGGACUUUUUUAUCGCUGCCAUGAAGAGACACCUGUUUGUAGCUCCUCUCCCUUGCUGAGUCCCUUGCGAUCCACAGUGGAUGGUCGAACCAAGAAUUUGUGGUAUGGAGCUUGUGUCGGGGCGCUGGUGGCCCUGUUAGCCUCUGUGCGGCUGUGGCUUCGCUGCUAUGGUAAUCUCAAGAGCCCUGAGCCCCCUGUGCUCUUUGUGCGCUGGGGGCUGCCCCUAAUGGGACUGGGCACUGCUGCCUACUGGGCAUUGGCAUCAGGGGCAGAUGAAGCACCCCCACGUCUCCGGGCCCUGGUCUCUGGGGCGUCAGUUUUGUUGCCUCGGGCUGUGGCAGGGUUGGCCGCUUCAGGGCUCGUGCUGCUGCUCUGGAGGCCUGUGACAGUGCUGGUGAAGGCCACAACAGGUGCUCCAAGGACCAGGACUGUCCUCACUCCCUUCUCAGGUCCCCCCACUUCUCAGGCUGACCUGGAUUAUGUGGUUCCUCAAAUCUACCGACACAUACAAGAGGAGUUCCGGGGCCGGCUAGAGAGGACCAAAUCUCAGGGUCUGCUGACGGUGGCUGCCUAUCAGUUGGGGAGCGUCUACUCAGCUGCUGUGGUCACGGCCCUUACCCUCUUGGCCUUCCCACUUCUGCUAUUGCAUGCAGAGCGCAUUAGUCUUGUGUUCCUGCUUCUGUUUCUGCAGAGCUUCCUUCUCCUGCAUCUGCUUGCUGCCGGGAUACCCAUCACCACCCCUGGUCCUUUUACUGUGCCGUGGCAUGCAGUUUUUGCAUGGGCCCUCAUGGCCUCACAGACCUUCUAUACCACCGGCCACCAGCCUGUCUUUUCAGCUAUCCAAUGGCAUGCAGCCUUCGUGGGAGUCUCAGAGAGUCGUGACUUUACCUGGCUGUCUGCUUUCCUGGUGGGAGCCAACACCUUUGCCUCCCAUAUUCUCUUUGCAGUAGGUUGCCCGUUGCUCCUGCUCUGGCCCUUUCUGUGUGAAAAUCAAGGAUCCCAGAAGAGGCGGCAGCCCCCAGGAAAUGAAGCUGAGGCCAGAGUCGGGCCUGAGGAGGAGCAGGAGCCACGGAUGGAGAUGCGGCUCCGGGAUGCACCUCACCACUUCAGUGCAGCACUGCUGCAGCUGGGCCUCAAGUACCUCUUUGUCCUUGGUAUUCAGAGGCAGAGUGUAUGACUCUGACAUUCCCUCCACCCUGAGAAGCCGAGCCUGAGUGUUAAGAGACACAGAUGAAUAGUGCUUGUCCACGGUCACACUGCAAGUCAUAGUAGGGCCAAGGAAAGAGUUAGGUUUCCUAACUCUUAGCCCAGAGUUCUUUCCACUGACAGAUUCUGGCCUGUGUCUUGGCAGCCUCCAUCCUCCGCAGGCAUCUCUUGGUCUGGAAGGUGUUUGCCCCCAAGUUCAUUUUUGAGGCCAUGGGCUUCAUUGUGAGCAGCGUGGGACUUUGUCUAGGCAUAG